AGUGGCGAACGGGUGAGUAACACGUGGGCAACCUGCCCAAAAGAGGGGGAUAACACUUGGAAACAGGUGCUAAUACCGCAUAACCAUAGUUACCGCAUGGUAACUAUGUAAAAGGUGGCUAUACUACCGCUUUUGGAUGGGCCCGCGGCGCAUUAGCUAGUUGGUAGGGGUAAAGGCUUACCAAGGCAAUGAUGCGUAGCCGAAUUGAGAGGUUGAUCGGCCACAUUGGGACUGAGACACGGCCCAAACUCCUACGGGAGGCAGCAG
Molecule: ribosomal RNA, 267 nt
Filed under: uncultured bacterium
Lineage: Bacteria
Description: partial 16S ribosomal RNA
Rfam family: Bacterial small subunit ribosomal RNA
Source: RNAcentral